GGGCUUGUACUGGUUUCGACGGGGGUUUUGAAGUUUGGGAAGCCAUCUGCGGUGCGGAACCGCAUAACAAUCCGCAAAUUAAAAUUAAACGCAGACGAAAAUUUAGCGUACGCUGCCUAGUGGCAGCAGUCGGACUUGAGUCGCUCACUGCUUAAGUAACCGGCUUCGACGAGGUGAGGCACUUCAUUUCCAAUGCCUUGAGGGAAUGGAAGAAUCAAUCAGGCUACUGAAACUGACAGUUCGUCAUCAGACGGUCAGCGGAGGGAAUGUUAAAAUGAUGACUGUGAUGGGAGAUGCCUGAAUGGACGGGCUUUCGGACAGGGGUUCGAUUCCCCUCAGGUCCAUUU
Lachnospiraceae bacterium 2_1_46FAA is the source of this 347-nucleotide non-coding RNA. It matches the Rfam family "transfer-messenger RNA". Rfam says of the family: Bacterial tmRNA, also known as 10Sa RNA or SsrA, is named for its dual tRNA and mRNA-like properties. Its role is to liberate the mRNA from a stalled ribosome. Lineage: Bacteria; Bacillati; Bacillota; Clostridia; Lachnospirales; Lachnospiraceae. The record is from Rfam.